RNAcentral lists this ribosomal RNA (465 nucleotides) under uncultured Stenotrophomonas sp. RNAcentral describes it as "bacterial SSU rRNA". It matches the Rfam family "Bacterial small subunit ribosomal RNA", at positions 338 to 795 of the family's 1533-position model. The record is from RNAcentral. Lineage: Bacteria; Pseudomonadati; Pseudomonadota; Gammaproteobacteria; Lysobacterales; Lysobacteraceae.
CCUACGGGUGGCAGCAGUGGGGAAUAUUGGACAAUGGGCGCAAGCCUGAUCCAGCCAUACCGCGUGGGUGAAGAAGGCCUUCGGGUUGUAAAGCCCUUUUGUUGGGAAAGAAAUCCGGCUGGCUAAUACCCGGUUGGGAUGACGGUACCCAAAGAAUAAGCACCGGCUAACUUCGUGCCAGAAGCCGCGGUCAUACGAAGGGUGCAAGCGUUACUCGGAAUUGCUCGGCGUAAAGCGUGCGUAGGUGGUCGAUUAAGUCCGUUGGGAAAGCCCUGGGAUCAACCUGGGAACUACAGUGGAUACUGGGCGACUAGAGUGUGGUAGAGGGUACAGGAAUUCGUGGGGUAGCAGUGAAAUGCGUAGAGAACAGGAGGAACAUCCAUGGCGAGGGCAGGUACCUGGACCAACACUGACACUGAGGCACGAAUGCGUGGGGAGCAAACAGGAUUAGAUACCCUGGUAGUC